UAGGGAAUCUUCCGCAAUGGACGCAAGUCUGACGGAGCAACGCCGCGUGAGUGAAGAAGGAUUUCGGUUCGUAAAACUCUGUUGUUAGAGAAGAACAGCGCAUAGAGUAACUGUUAUGCGUGUGACGGUAUCUAACCAGAAAGCCACGGCUAACUACGUGCCAGCAGCCGCGGUAAUACGUAGGUGGCAAGCGUUGUCCGGAUUUAUUGGGCGUAAAGCGAGCGCAGGCGGUCAAUUAAGUCUGAUGUGAAAGCCCCCGGCUCAACCGGGGAGGGCCAUUGGAAACUGGUUGACUUGAGUGCAGAAGAGGAGAGUGGAAUUCCAUGUGUAGCGGUGAAAAGCGUAGAUAUAUGGAGGAACAACAGUGGCGAAGGCGACUCUCUGGUCUGAAACUGACGCUGAGGCUCAAAAGCGUGGGGAGCGAACAGG
Molecule: ribosomal RNA, 429 nt
Filed under: Bacteroidota bacterium
Lineage: Bacteria; Pseudomonadati; Bacteroidota
Description: Bacteroidetes bacterium partial 16S ribosomal RNA
Rfam family: Bacterial small subunit ribosomal RNA
Source: RNAcentral